This 391-nucleotide ribosomal RNA is filed under the name Fulvifomes sp. BAB-3655. RNAcentral describes it as "eukaryotic LSU rRNA". The stretch from base 1 to 108 matches the Rfam family "5.8S ribosomal RNA", at positions 49 to 154 of the family's 154-position model. The record is from RNAcentral. Lineage: Eukaryota; Fungi; Basidiomycota; Agaricomycetes; Hymenochaetales; Hymenochaetaceae.
UCUUAUGCGAUACUUGGUGUGAAUUGCAGAAUUCAGUCGACUCAUCGAUUCAUUUGAACGCACCUUGCGCCCUUUGGUAUUCCGAAGGGCAUGCCUGUUUGAGUGUCAUGUUAAUCUCAAACCCCUUGUCUUUGUUGACUCGGUUUGGUUUGGACUUGGAGGUGUUGCUGGCACAUAGGUUCUUGCCUACGUCGGCUCCUCUUAAAUGUAUUAGCUGGACUUUGGUUCGCAUUAACGGUGUAAUAGUAAAGUGUUCGCCGGGUGCUUGCCUAACGAGUCUUCUUCUAAUUGUCUUCGGACAAGGUCGACUCUGACCUUUUCUCUUGACCUUUGACCUCAAAUCAGGUAGGACCUUCCCCGCUGAACUUAAGCAUAUCAAUAAGCGGAGGAA